UUGGCCUGGAUUGUUAUGGCUUGCUUUA
This 28-nucleotide non-coding RNA is filed under the name Homo sapiens (human). The record is from RNAcentral. Lineage: Eukaryota; Metazoa; Chordata; Mammalia; Primates; Hominidae.